GACAUAGGUGGCGAACGUUAUCCGGAAUCAUUGGGCGUAAAGGGUGCGUAGAUGGUUAGAUAAGUUAGUGGUGGAAAAUCAGGGCUCAACCCUGUGGAAGUUGCUAAUACUGUCCAACUGGAAGACAGAAGAGGUUAACGGAAUUCCCUGUGGAGCGGUAAAAUGUUUAGAUAUAGGGAAGAACACCAAGAGGCGAAGGCAGUUAACUAUUCUGUGCUUGACAUUGAGGCACGAAAGCGUGGGGAACAAAAAGG
This 254-nucleotide ribosomal RNA is filed under the name uncultured bacterium. RNAcentral's name for it is "partial 16S ribosomal RNA". It matches the Rfam family "Bacterial small subunit ribosomal RNA", at positions 524 to 776 of the family's 1533-position model. The record is from RNAcentral.